UACGUAGGGUGCGAGCGUUAAUCGGAAUUACUGGGCGUAAAGCGUGCGCAGGCGGUUUUGUAAGCCAGAUGUGAAAUCCCCGGGCUUAACCUGGGAAUGGCAUUUGGGACUGCAAGGCUCGAGUGCGGCAGAGGAGACUGGAAUUCCUGGUGUAGCAGUGAAAUGCGUAGAUAUCAGGAGGAACACCGAUGGCGAAGGCAGGUCUCUGGGCUAUAACUGACGCUCAUGCACGAAAGCGUGGGGAGCAAACAGG
Molecule: ribosomal RNA, 253 nt
Filed under: uncultured bacterium
Lineage: Bacteria
Description: partial 16S ribosomal RNA
Rfam family: Bacterial small subunit ribosomal RNA
Source: RNAcentral